CCGGUUGAACGCUGGCGGCAGGCCUAACACAUGCAAGUCGAGCGGAUGAGAAGAGCUUGCUCUUCGAUUCAGCGGCGGACGGGUGAGUAAUGCCUAGGAAUCUGCCUGGUAGUGGGGGACAACGUUUCGAAAGGAACGCUAAUACCGCAUACGUCCUACGGGAGAAAGCAGGGGACCUUCGGGCCUUGCGCUAUCAGAUGAGCCUAGGUCGGAUUAGCUAGUUGGUGAGGUAAUGGCUCACCAAGGCGACGAUCCGUAACUGGUCUGAGAGGAUGAUCAGUCACACUGGAACUGAGACACGGUCCAGACUCCUACGGGAGGCAGCAGUGGGGAAUAUUGGACAAUGGGCGAAAGCCUGAUCCAGCCAUGCCGCGUGUGUGAAGAAGGUCUUCGGAUUGUAAAGCACUUUAAGUUGGGAGGAAGGGCAUUAACCUAAUACGUUAGUGUUUUGACGUUACCGACAGAAUAAGCACCGGCUAACUCUGUGCCAGCAGCCG
Molecule: ribosomal RNA, 497 nt
Filed under: Pseudomonas gingeri
Lineage: Bacteria; Pseudomonadati; Pseudomonadota; Gammaproteobacteria; Pseudomonadales; Pseudomonadaceae
Description: bacterial SSU rRNA
Rfam family: Bacterial small subunit ribosomal RNA
Source: RNAcentral